UGGCGUACGGGUGCGUAACGCGUAUACAACCUGCCUGUUACACGGGGAUAGCCUUGCGAAAGCGAGAUUAAUACCCGAUAGUACUAUCUGGUGGCAUCACUUGGUAGUUAAAGCUGAGGCGGUAACAGAGGGGUAUGCGUCCCAUUAGCUAGUUGGUAGUGUAACGGACAACCAAGGCUACGAUGGGUAGGGGUUCUGAGAGGAUGAUCCCCCACACUGGUACUGAGAUACGGACCAG
RNAcentral lists this ribosomal RNA (238 nucleotides) under uncultured bacterium. Its description in RNAcentral is "partial 16S ribosomal RNA". It matches the Rfam family "Bacterial small subunit ribosomal RNA", at positions 96 to 334 of the family's 1533-position model. The record is from RNAcentral.